RNAcentral lists this ribosomal RNA (274 nucleotides) under uncultured bacterium. Its description in RNAcentral is "partial 16S ribosomal RNA". It matches the Rfam family "Bacterial small subunit ribosomal RNA", at positions 523 to 796 of the family's 1533-position model. The record is from RNAcentral.
AUACGGAGGGUGCAAGCGUUACUCGGAAUCACUGGGCGUAAAGCGCGCGCAGGCGGCUAUUUAAGUUGGAUGUGAAAGCCUGCGGCUCAACCGUAGAACUGCAUCCAAAACUAUUUAGCUAGAGUGUGGGAGAGGAAGAUGGAAUUAGUUGUGUAGGGGUAAAAUCCGUAGAGAUAACUAGGAAUACCAAAAGCGAAGGCAAUCUUCUGGAACACUACUGACGCUGAGGCGCGAAAGCGUGGGGAGCAAACAGGAUUAGAAACCCCAGUAGUCC